This 443-nucleotide ribosomal RNA is filed under the name uncultured bacterium. Its description in RNAcentral is "partial 16S ribosomal RNA". It matches the Rfam family "Bacterial small subunit ribosomal RNA", at positions 338 to 795 of the family's 1533-position model. The record is from RNAcentral.
CCUACGGGUGGCAGCAGUGGGGAAUAUUGGGCAAUGGGCGCAAGCCUGACCCAGCAACGCCGCGUGAAGGAAGAAGGCUUUCGGGUUGUAAACUUCUUUUCUCAGGGACGAAGAAAGUGACGGUACCUGAGGAAUAAGCCACGGCUAACUACGUGCCAGCAGCCGCGGUAAUACGUAGGUGGCAAGCGUUAUCCGGAUUUAUUGGGUGUAAAGGGCGUGUAGGCGGGACUGUAAGUCAGAUGUGAAAACUCAGGGCUCAACCCGUUGCCUGCAUUUGAAACUGUUGUUCUUGAGUACUGGAGAGGCAGUCGGAAUUCCUUGUGUAGCGGUGAAAUGCGUAGAUAUAAGGAGGAACACCAGUGGCGAAGGCGGACUGCUGGACAGCAACUGACGCUGAGGCGCGAAAGCGUGGGGAGCAAACAGGAUUAGAUACCCUGGUAGUC